ACCAUUUGUGUACAAAAUGGCCAGUCUGAAGUUGGGGAUACAGGUUAAAAAGAAGAAGAAGAAAAAUCCUGUGCAACUUCAGAGAGCUUACACUCGUGGCCAAAUGGAACAAGUUUCUUUUUUAUUUGGUACAUAAAUUUGUCCUAAGCAAUGCACUCAAAGGGAAAAUUCCCAAACAGCAGUGCUGGGUCUACAGUCAUUUGUCAAAUUAAUCAUGAUAUAUUUUCUUGCCUUGAAUAGUGUCGGCUGGAAUAUGUUACAUUCCAUUCUAGGAAGGGAAUCCAAGUGAAGAAUUCCUAACCAACAAUUUUUCAGUCUACAGAAAGAGUGAGAGUCCAAGUCCUUUCAUUACUGUUCACAACACUUUUUCCAUGGUCUUUCAGUUGGGAAGAUACAGUCAAAUGGCAGAAUUAGGAUUGAAACCUCAUACAGAGUUAUGAAACCAACACAGUGUUAGUGUUAAGGGAGACCAGGAUUCCAAUUAGAGGCAAUGCUGGGUUUGGUACAAGAUAACCACUUAGGGAAAAUGGAAAAAUAAUGUCAGGCCUGAUAAAUAUCUGACAAAAACUUAAAGAAAGAGUCCAAAUGCUUAACUCAGUCUUUUUUCUGAUACUGCAUCUGAAGUAUGUGGAUCAUCUGAUAAUGACAUUUCAGCAUUCAGCCAUAUAAUAGUUGACAAAGUAAUGUACUUCACACUGAAAGCUGUAAAACUAUAGUGAAUUAUAAAAUUAGAUAUCAAUUUGAAUACUACACAAUUUUUAAAAUGUAAAAUUUUGUAAUACGGAAAUGUUAUGUUCAUUUACUUCAUUUGAAGUAUGUCAAUAUUCUAUUUGACUCAGCAAACAUAAUCUAGUCACCUUGCUCAUGAGUGUCCACAGGAAAAAAAUAAAUUUGGCUAUCAACUAAUUUCUCUAGUUUCUGAAUGUUAUUAGUUAUGAGUUUUUUCUCCUCCUCUUCCAAAUUUGGACCUAAUAUUAGGACAAGGGACAUAUAUAUCUCUACAUAAAAAGCAGAGGGCUGGAAAUUUUCUGAUCAUCUGGAUUUUAAAAAACAUUCCCCAUGGAAUGUACAACCAAUUGAAGCAAUAUUUUUAAAGAAAAUACAUUUUUCUUAAUGUAUCAUGUUAAUUCCCUCUAUUCUUGUCUUGUUUGAAUGUGAGUAAGCAGUCCAUUGGAAAAAAAAAGAUAUUUUCCUGUUGUAGUAAAGAAUCAUAUCAUCUAGCUUUUUGGGAUUGGUGUAGAAUCCAGACAUCCUUUAUACUAUGUAAUAUGAUGACUAGAAUUUAACCUAAGUGAUUAGCCAAUGCACUAGAUUAAAAGUGAAUGAAUCCACUCAAGAGACAGGCAAGCACACAGGCAAAGCAGUCAUCCUUAGCAUCUAACUCUUACCUUUUAGGUUCAUGUGAGCAUGGGGAGAGUAGACAAGACUGAACAUGAGGACAAAAAUUGCUAGUCACCUGAGGCCAGAUUUUUGUCUUGGAUUGUUUUGGGAGAACUUUGCCAACAACUUAGAAAAAAAUGAUUAACUUGGACAUUCACCUAUAAUUCUUAGAACCCCUCCCGCUGGUGCAAAAUAUUAGCAUAGGACACUCUUGUUAAAAUGGUCCUUUGAGGUUUAGUAUCUCUAGGCUAACUGAAUCUGCCUCAAUCUCAUUUCAUCUGAAUUAUAAAAGCCACAUGUGUUCUGAUGUCCCAAUUAUGUUGUCACAUAGAGUCAUGCAAGCUAGCAAGCUUUGGGAUUAGUAGAGGAGAACAUUUUGAAAUAAUCUAAAAAAACAAACAAACCAUGCUUUUUAAUUACAAGAGGAUGGGGAAUGAGAUUUUCCCCAAGUGGAAAUUGCACCCAAAUGGAAGGAAGGCUUUACAAAAACAGAAUUAUUGAAAAAUAUCAGUAAAAUAAUGUCUAGGUGUUAAGUCAAAUAGUGACUCCGUAUAUAUUUUAGCCCAAUUAAGCCCAUAAAAGUUGCCAAUUUAUCCAUUCAUUGAUGAAAACCUUUGCUGAAUGUUCACUAUAUACGAAGCAUAUACAGUCAUGUGCCACAUAACAAUGUUUCCAUCAACGAUGGACCACAUAUACAACGGUGGUCCCAUAAGAUUAUACUGCUGUAUUUUUACUGUAUCUUUUCUAUGUUUAGAUAUGUUUAGAUACACAAAUAGUUACCACUGUGUAACAAUUGCUACAGUACUCAGUGCAGUAACAUGCUGUCCAGGUUUGUAGCCUAGGAGCUACAGGCUAUACUAUAUAGCCUAGGUAUAUUGUAGCCUAGGCUACACUAUAUGGCCUUGGUGGUACAGUGAACUAUACCACCCUAGGUUUGUGUAAGUACACUCUGUGAUCACACAAUAACAAAAUAGCCUAAUGACAGAUUUCUUGGAACAUAUUCCAGUUGUUAAGUGACACAUGGCUCUAGAUAAGUAUUGAAUAACACCCAUGUGUAAGGGAAAUGAAGAAAGAGCACCCUCUGGCCCUUUGAGGAGUGUCAUUCUCAGAGAUGACCCACAUCAGACAUGGAUGGCUGCCUGUACCAGGCUAGGCUCUCUACCCUAUUUUCUCACAAGGAGGAGAGUGAUUUAGAAUGUCCUGGAAGUAUUUCAUUGUUCUAUCAUGUUUGCAAUUGAUCAGCAUUAGAAAGAAAUUUUGCACCAUGGAGAGUCAAGCAUACUAAUGACACAAUGUGUACUUAUAAGUAAACUCAUCCCUACUUUGAAACCCAUCAAUGAAAGCAAACUUUUGGCCCCUGGGAGACACAGUGACAUUACAGUUUGAAAACCUAUUCCAACAAAGACCAUCAAAUCAAGGACUGAGUCUUAUCCACCUUUGUACUUGCGGCACCGUGCUUUGCUCAGAGUAAGUGCUCAGAAAGUCUUGUUUUAUCUAGAGUGAAAGAGGUAGGCUUCUGCACAGCGACAUACAUAGUAUGCUCAAAAGUAGCCUGAGUAGAGGCUCUGAAGUGUCCCCAGUGCAGUGAUCCAAGUAACUUAAGGUUAAUUUUGCCACCCUGUGUAAACACAGACUGCCUGAGGCCUCUUCAUUUCAUUUAGUUUGAAAGUCACACAAGACAGGGUUCAGAAUUUAAAAAUUGGAUACUCUCUUGGAUAUUGGUGAUGGGCCAUGAAAAAUAAAUUAGUUCCUUUAAGGAGUAUUUUUAAAACUCAGGAAUUGCUUAGAGAAAAAAGAGGGGCAAAGCAAUUUUUCCCAAUAAAUUUUUCUGUAAUCAAUUAAAUCUUUUUAGGAUUUGGAUAAUAUAACAGACUCAGAAUUUUGUCAUAAAAAAUAAAAUUGCCAAGAUAAUAAUAUAAAAUAAAUGUAGAAUAUUUAAUUUUUAUGAAUUUUCUUUUUAAUAAAAAAUUGACAAAUUAUCCCUCAACAAUCUUCCAACUGUUUAAUGUAUUAAAAUGAUAUAUGCUAUUUAAAAAUUAUUAGGCAUUCAUUAAAUUGGCAAGAUUUUAGAUUUCAUGUAUUCAAGAUUUUGCUUUGGUAAGAAGCAAAUUCUAUAAACUCCCUAUUGGAAACACGUAUUUUGGGAAUUAGAUAUUUUUCAAUGUGAGCUGCUGUUUUCUUCUAACUGCAGGGAAAAUGCUGUCUAAAAGAAAAUAAUAAAUUUGUAUCUGCUGAGUUCUCUUAGCAUAAGGCACCAACAAAACAAGCUUCAGGAAGGGAGAAGAAACCAUCCUCCCACUCAUCCUUCAGAGGAUUUAGAUAAAGUGAAGGGAAGAAUCGUUCUCCAGCUCCUUCGGAAUUUACGCCGGCAUCAGGGCAGGCUUGUUACUGCUGGAUCCAUUGUCUGCUCAAGGUUACUUAUUCCACUAAGACGUACAUCCUACCACGGACCACGGCUUUGUAGCUAGCCAGGCUCUGAGUGUGUGUGUAGAUGAACCAUUUCUCUCUCCAGUAAAUGAAUGACAGUCUUUCUAGGGCUCUUGUCUUCUGCUGGGAGGCAGAGCAUCUCUAGCCCAGGAAGAAUGCCCAGACAGAGUCAGGGGGAAUGGGGACACGAGAUAGAGUUCAUAUUUGUGAUCUGUCCCCUUCGUUUCUCUUUUUUCUCUCUCUCCCUCUUUCUUUUUUUUUUUUUUUUUUUUUUGCAUGGGUGGUGGUCGGGAUGUGUUGUUUUUGUUGUUGUUGUUGUUUAAGAUAUCAUUGGUAAGCAUCUCAAUAUGUGUUUACCAGAUAGUAUAAACUAUUAUAAGAACAGAAGAUAACAAGACUUUUAAUUGGUACAGAAACCUAUAUUGGGCAUCUAUUUUGUGCAACCCACCAUGCAGGUCAUAUGAGAGAUGCAAGACAAUGAGACAUAAUCCCUCCUUUGUGGAGCUUACAGUCUAAGUGACUGAGACCGGCUCACAGGUAACUGAGUGUUUCAGUCAUACUGACGUGUCAGGCAGUCUUUGGUUGCUGAGUACAUGGUUAUAAAGACUGUGAAGAAACAAAUUACCAUUCCACCAAAGCAAAUCAAAUAACGAAGACCCAAAUUGGAUCACUUCUCAUUUUCUAUUUUUAAAUGUACUUCAUAAAGACAUUUACUUACUAAAAUCAGUUUUUGUCUUAUACAACAUUAAAGUAACCAUAUGACCCUUUUAAUAUAGUUCAAGGAAAUUAUCUGAAUUAAGUAACUUGAUUUGUUAUUUUUCACCAUUGUGGGAAUUUUUAGAAGCACCAUCAUUCUAACUAAUAGCCAUAAAAUACAAGUUUAUUUAAUAGUUUCUUCAAGUUACAUAUGUUCGUAGUUUAGUGACAAAAGGUAAAUAAAAUUAAUAAACUUCAUAAAAAUCAGUGGACUCUGGAAAACAUUUUAAAAAUUCCUCUGUGAGCAACAGACUUUCAACACAUUUUCCCCCAAAGAUCAAAGGGCAUGAAUUAAAAUGAAAUAAGGAAAGUCUGCUAAUUUUUAACCUUUAAAGAUUAAGUAUUUAGGAAGAGAUAGAAACUGAAAAUGCCAUAUGCUUUUUGAAAAUUAAAAGAAACAUGGAAACCCUGUUCACAUGAUAAAAUUAUGACUGUGCACAAAGAAUUUUUAGAAGUCAUUACUCCUGGAUACUAAGAUUAGAAAUACUUAUAUACUAAGUAGAGUCAUAGUCAGAAAAAAGAAACCAUCUGAUUGAUUUAUGAGAAUCAAUUCAAAUAGUCCUUUGAAGUAUUAGAAUCAUUCUGUAUAAUGGCAAGCACAUGGUAGGGUAGUUUCCUAAUAAAUACUGGGUACAGUUGGGAGAAAACAAUGCAGUUUUGGACUAGAGAACCAAAACCUUCUGGAAUUUUCUAGGCUUUUUGAUUAUGGCCAAGCCGCCACUGGGCCUGACCGCUGGCAUUAUUGGUAUCCUAACUUUGGCUUUUUAUUAAAUAAAAAUAAGAAAUAUUUCUACAAAGGAUCACCCCAUCCUGGAGGCAGCUCAUAGUACAGAAAUUGGAAUAAUCUUGUCUUAAGUUUCUACCAACCUCGUCCAUCCUGCUACACACACCAUUUUAUACUCCAAUGAGUAUUUAAUUCAACAAAAAAUAAAAAUUAAAAAAUGGCCAUUUCAGAGUGAAAAAAAAAAUGUUCAGGCAAACCAGUUUUUGGAUUGACUUGCCUGGUAAGUAUUGGCAAAUGGUCACUCUGGUAGCCUAUGUGCAUACCCAUCCCAGGAGAGGCUAUUAAGUCCUGAAGGGUGGAAGAUGGAAAAUGAGUUUUGUUUUGCUUUUUUGCUCUUGUUGCCCAGGCUGGAGUGCAAUGGCGCGAUCUCAGCUCACCGCAACCUCCGCCUCCUGGGUUCAAGCGAUUCUCCUGCCUCAACCUCCCGAGUAGCUGGGAUUAUAGGCAUGCCCCACCACGCCCAGCUAAUUUUGUAUUUUUAGUAGAGAUAGAGUUUCUCCAUGUUGGUCAGGCUGGUCUCGAGCUCCUGACCUCAGGUGAUCUGCCCACCUUGGUCUCCCAAAGUGCUGGGAUUACAGGCGUGAGCCACCGUGCCCGGCUGGAAAAUGAGUUUUGAAAGCAAGAACCAUACUGACUUCUUAACACUUGGGUGCCUUCUUUUUCUUACCAUUUCUUCCUUAAUUGAGGCACAAAUCUUUUAGCUGUUAUGCAGUGAAUAUAUCAUGGAAGAAUUUUUCUUUUAAAAAGGAAAACAAAGAAAAAUAAAAUUCAAUGUCUAAAAUAUGGCCAUGGAGUAAACUAAUAAUAUGCAAGGUGUGUUUACAUGUAGUCUACCUUUAUCAUUUAUGAUUUUCUUUACCAGUUUUAUCUCCAGUAUAUAACUUUACAAGCAUUAUUUUUACGUGAAGCUGUGAUACUUCGUGGAUGAACUUGACAAAAUUAGAUUUUCUUUUGCCAAGUGUAUUAGGGUUCUCCAGAGAGACAGAACUAAUAAAGUAUAGGAAGGGAUUUAUCAUAAGAAAUUUGCUCAUGUGAUUGUGGAGUCUGAGAAGUCCCCAGAUCUGCAGUCAGAAAGCUGGAGACCUGGGAGAGCUGAUGGUGUAGUUGUAGUCUGAGUCCAAAGGCCUGGGAACCAGAAGAGCCAAUGAUACAGUUCCAGUCUAAAAGCUGGCUGACCCAAGGCUCAAGAAGAGCUGAUGUUUUAGUGUGAGUCUAAAGGCAGGAAAAUCCGAUGUCCCAGCUCAAAGGCAGACAGGCAGGAGGAAUUACCUCUUACUUGAGGGAGGUUUGGGUCUUUUAUUCUAGCCAAUUGAUUGGAUGAAGUGCACCCACAUUAGGCAGGGAAAUCUUUUUUGCUGAGAAUGUUAAUCUCACCCAAAAACACACUCACAGACACACCCAGGGUAAUGUUUGACCAAAUGACUGGGCACCCUGUGGGGCAGUCAAGUUGACACAGAAUUACCCAACACAGCAGGUGAGAUUCAAUCACAUGAUUCAGUAAUUUUAAUAAUUAUAUGAUUAAAUGCUAAUAAAUUUACAUGCAAAGAAUUUUGCCUAUAUUAUAAGCUCAAGUAUUUGGCCAUAGAACAUUUAAAGACAUGCUUAGCCAAUUUAAGGAAAAAUUAGUUAGCCAUUGCAACAUUAUCUUCAAAGCUAUUGUUGGAAUAAAAACUAUCCUAAAAAAGUAGCCCCCACUUAAUGUGUUGAUUAAUUCAUCUAUCUAGCCAUGAAUGUGUUCCACAAACUUUAGUUGAGUAUCUACUAUAUGCUAGGCACUGUGCCAGGCAUAUGGCACACAGAUACCAAAGAAAAUAAACCUGGUUUCUGCCAGCUAGGAACUCUGUCUGGCAAGGUGGGACAGCCAAAUAAAUAAAUUAGGAGGAAAGUGUUAAUGGUAGGCUGGCCUGACCACACAUCGUAUUAGCCUAGAGCAGUCCUCUUUUCUAUCUCUUUUCUCAAUCUACGAAUAGCUCUCUAUCAUUUGCAAACAUACCCUAAGUUGGGCAAUAAAUUUUGCAGCCACCUGGGUGUAGGCGAUGUGAGAGAAGUUUCUCUAAGAUACAGUAGGAGUGCCCAUGGAGGGAACAGAUGAUCUAGCUGUUGGAGGGUGGGAGAAGGAGAGCCCUCAAUCCUGGGAUUAAUCCUGAAAAAUGAGAGUGGUGUUUAAGAUGCAGAGAGAAAAGGAAAGGAGCUUUGUGAAAGAAGGGAACUCUGUGCAUAAGGAAAAAGAGGCAGGGCUCAGUCGUAGGUGCAGGACAAUUGUAAAUAUGCAGAUCUGGCUAGGGCAGUGGGGUCUGAGGGGCUUGGGAGGCAAUAAGGCCGUGGGGGGUUGCAGCCACCACAUCCCAGAGGCCUCACUCUGUUGUGCUAAAGAGCUUGAAUACAUCCCGAUGGCGGUUAUAUGACACAGUGGCAGUCAUGGCAGAUAAUGGUUUGGUUAGAUUUGUGAUUUAGAACAACAAACACAUCUGGUAAAAGUUGACUUCCUGGGCCGGACAUGGUGGCUCACGCCUGUAAUCCCAGCAUUUUGGGAGGCUGAGGUUGGUGGAUGACCUGAGGUCAGGAGUUUGAGACCAGGCUGGCCAACAUGGUGAAACCCCAUCUCUACUAAAAAUACAAAACUUAGCCAGGUGUGGUGGUGCUUGUCUGUAAUCCCGGCUACUCAGGAGGCUGAGGCAAGGGAAUCCAGGAGGCAGAGGUUGCAGUGAGCCAAGAUCAUGCCACUGCACUCCAGCCUGGGUGACAUAGCGAGUUUCCAUCUCAAGAAAAAAAAAAGUUUAAAAUUCAAUUAUUACAUAUUUUAUCUUAGACUAUUGACUAACUUCACAUUCGUGCAAUACAGAAAUGGGGGAGGUAGCAUAAUAGCCAAUUUUUCCAAUUGAUGGGAAUACAUCCUUUGCUUUUGUAUAUUUUUGUGAGAAAAUUAUUUCAAUUUAAGCAUUAUGUAAUUAGUGACCACUUUUCAGGAAUUGAACCACUCUGUAAAUCCAGAUUUGUGGAUGGGGAGACAGAACAUCAGAAAGUUAUGAAAAUAAAACUUGAAAAGGUAAUAUAAAAUUUAAAUGAAGUGGGAAAAAGAGUCAGAAAUUCUUUACACUUUCAGAAAUUUGAUUCCUUCAAAUUAUAUGUGAGUUUUUGUGAUUAUUUACUGAUCACUGCCUACAAUUACACUGUUUUUAAGGGAUGACACUUGGCAACCAUUUAACUGAACUUCACUUUCCCAUUGGAGGUGUCGGAUGUCAUGAGAAGUUAAGAGACUAGGCAAGUCAUAGUCAGAGACAUCCCUAGACCAGUGUAACAUUUCCCAGGAAAGACACAAGAGUUGUAUUUAUCAUUACAUUCAUUUCCUUAAUAUAGCUCAUAUCCUUUUUUGAAGGAUAUGUUGUAAGCCUGAGGUCCUUUUAGAAAAUCUCAAUUUGUCUGACAAGAAAAUAAAGAUCACAAAAACCCUUAGUUUCUCAACAAGAAAGUAAAUAAGAUGAAAAAUCCUUGUGUGGUGAGUUAAUAUUUUGAAAUCUCUCUCUCUCUUUUCCUCUGUAUUCUCUCUCACCCCCUCAUGUCUCCUCCAUUCAAUUAAACUAGUAAAUAAGAUGAAAAAUCCAUGUGUGGUGAGUUAAUAUUUUGAAAUCUCUCUCUCUUUUCCUCUGUAUUCUCUCUCUCCCCUUCAUGUCUCAUCCAUUCAAUUAAACUAUAUCAUCUUCUGCUUAUUGAACCAAGAAAGGAAUGUGACAGAAAGAGAAAAAAAAGAGCCUCUACUAGGAUUUUGAGUUUACAGAGACAAGGCCUUGGGGAAGCAGCAAGGAUUCAUGGCAUAGACCAGGGGUUCUAACCAGGCAGCUUGUUUCCACCCCUUAGGGGACAUUUGGAAUUGUGUUGUGUGGGAUUGGGGAGAUGUUUGUCACAAUAACUGGGAAAUAUCCCAUUAUCUACAAGUAGUAGAUGGGGCCAAGGAUGCUAAACAUUCUGCAAGGAGUGGACAGUCCUACAUACCAAAGAAGGGCUGACCCCAAGUGUCAAGAGCACCCCUGUUAAAACUUACUGGAAGGCAAAGAUAUAGAAAAAUUGGAACCCUUGUACAUUGCUGGUGGGAAUGUAAAUGGUGCAGCACUGUGAAAAAGAGUUUAGCAAUUAAACAGAGAAUUACCAUAUGAUCCAGCAAUUCCCCUUUUGGGUAUAAUCCUUUUGCAUCCAAAAGGAUUAAAAGCAGAGAUUUAAGCAGAUAUCUAUACACCAAUGUUCAUGGCAGCAUCAUUCACAAUAGUCAAAAAAGGUGGAAACAAGCCAAGUAUCAAUCAUUGGAUGAAAGGAUAAAGAAAACAUGGUGUAUACAUACAACAGAAUAUUAUUCAGACUUAAAUAGGAAGGAAAUCUGACAUGUGCUUCAACAAGAUAAAUUUUGAAGAUAGUAUGUUAGUGAAAUAAGCCAGUAAUAAAAAGACAAAUAUGUAACUCCACUUAUAGGAAUAGAAAGUAUCUAGAAUAGUCAAAUUCAUAGAGACAGAAAGUAGAAGAGUGGUUGCCAGGGCCUGAGGCAGUUAGUGAUGAAUGGAUAUAGAGUUUCAGUUUGGAAAGAUGAAAAAAUUCUGGAAGCAGAAGGUGGUGAUGGUUGCAUAACAAUGUGAAUGUACUUAAUGCCAUGAACUAUAUACAUUUUAAAAUGGUUAAAAUGGUAAAUUUUAUAUUAUAUAUAUUUUAUCACAGUUUAAAAAUAAAAAAUGCCACUCACUCAAGGAGAGGAGCUGACGUUGAAAGCAAUUCUGUUUUGCCCUUGGUACCAAAAUUGAAGAAGGCUGGGGGAAGAAGCAUGGUGGGCAAGCAUGAGAGGCAGAUAGUGUGGGCUCCUGGGCAAGGGCCUGCACCCUGCUCUUGGGGAAUGGGCAGAAACCUUGACAGAUUUAAGACAAAGGAAACUUGGACCUCAUUUCCUAGGUAAAUCUCUGAGGGGGAAAAAAAAAAUAUAUAUAUAUAUAUAAUGAAUUGAAGGGUAGGCAGAUGGAAAUAAAGGCCUCAUAAGGAUUGAAUUUGUGACCACAGACAACCCAGGUUGAUUCGCAAGUCAGUGUGCACUGAGUAGAGACAACCUACAGAACCACACGAGCCCACCCAAUGCCUUGGUUCUGUGUGAGCCACCCCAGAAUUCACAGGUAACAGCAUAUGGACAGGGAAAGUUCCUGAACUGGCUGCAUAAGGGCUUGAAAUAGAAUUUUAAUUGCAUCAUAAAGUUAAAUUUCUUGCAUACUGAAUCUCCAGCCUGAUAUAAGAAGCCAUCACAGCUGGGCAUGGUGGCCUGUAGUCCUAGUUACUCAGGAGGCUGAGAUAGGAGGAUCACUUGAGCCAAUGAGGUUGAGGCUGCAGUGAGCUAUGAUUGCACCACAGCACUCCAGCCUGGGUGACAGGGCAAGAUCCCAUCUCUAAAAAAGAAAAAAAUAAUAAAAAAUUAAAAAGAAGCCAGUAUUACAUUCCUUUCAGCUCUAAGCUACCCUAAUGCUUGGAGCCUUCAUAGUAACAUUCCAUGGUAAUUUUUUCACAUGUAUGAGAUUUUCCAUCAUAAGUGACUACAAUUAGCAUAUCUGGGUGAUGUGUAUGUGUUGGUUCCUUGUUUUACCUGGAACAGAAGGAAGGAAUUGGCUGCCAGAUAUUUGAAAAUUUGUUGUUGGAAAUGGCAGCACUGCAUGUAAGAGGAGCUUUUUCAAAUGAAUCAGUAGAUAAAAGGUGGAAGCUUGGCUCUUCCAGCCAAGCUCCCUUCAACAAGAGGAAUGAAAAUUGUAGUUCAAUGCCUGCUGCUCACUUAUCUCGUGUCUCAUAUCUUACUGCAACUUCCAGAAUGAAAAGACCCUGCCACAAUGAGGGGCUGAGUAAUUAAUUGCCUGAAACACAUGGGUAGUCUGAAAUUUGAGAUUCUUAUAAAGGUGUGACUCACAGCUUUCUUAGAAAAAGAGAACAAAUAUCCAUUGCACCAGGAACAGGGAAAUUUCCCUCCCAUCUUCUUCUCUUUCCUAUUAGGAUCUCAUUCUGUAGCCCAGGAUGAAGAGCAGUGGCAUAAUCAUAGCCCACUUCAGCUUUGACCUCUCAGUCUCAAGUGAUAGUCCCCCCACAGCCUCCUGAGUAGCUGGGACCACAGGCAUGCACCACCAUACCCAGAAGCCACUGUGGAAGAUGACGAAAGGAAAAUGAAUCACAGAUGAGGAAGAAACAAAAACAAAUGAAAUAAAGAAAACGAACGGACACAGACUUUAGGAAUGAUGUUUGAUUCCUAAUUAGGCUUGAUAUUACCAUGUUUGGUUACUGGUGUGUUUUCAUUCAUGUCUUUUGACCUGCUUAAAAAAGGAAAGAGGUCACUUCAAGGGAUCCACAUUUCAAUUUCAGUGUGUGGCACAAUUACUCUAUACUAAGAGUCUACUAGCCGUCAUUCCCACAGUAAGGCCUGGCUUGUUCGUACACUGGGUGCAUCUCUGAUCUAAUUUUAUUAUGGAUGACAGCAUGACAUUCAUUUCCACCACAUUCUACACCGCUCCAAUUCUGAACUUGGCAUGUAAUAGCCAUAAAAUAACAUGAGUAAAGAAGGGGACUCCUGCACAGAACUCUGGAAACCAAUGCCCAAUUUACGAGUCCAAGCAUGCAUGACUACUGUAAACCAGAAUGGUACUAAAACCAAUAGAUAUAUGAGAAGAAAAUGAAUAGUUACGUAAAGGUUUAUUGUAGACACUGGUUCAUUUUCAUAAUUUUAGGUUGAAUAUACCCAGCUGAUGAAAGCUUUGAAAAACUGAGUAUAAUUCCUUAUUAAAAUUAAAAGCACAACCUGUUUUUUUUGUUUGUUUGUUUUUUUGUUUUUUUUUUUUUUUGAGACAGAGUCUUGCUCUGUUGCCUAGGCUGGAGUGCAGUGGCAUGAUCUAGGAUCACUGCAGCCUCUGCCUCCUGGGUUCAAGCGAUUCUCCUGCCUCAUCCUUCGAAAUAGCUGGGAUAACAGGCUUGUGUCACCAUGCCUGGCUAAUUUUUGUAUUUUUAGUAGAGACGGGGUUUCACCAUGUUACUCAGGCUGGUCUCAAACUCCUGACCUCAGUGAUCCACUCGCCUCCGUCUUCGAAAUUGCUGGGAUUACAGGCGUGAGCCACCAUGCCCAGCCGACCUGUUAUUUUUGAAAGAAAGCUAACUUUAGGGAACUCAGUAUUUGCAUGGCACCAAAUUAUCACCCCAGGAUGACUAGCGAAUUGACAAAGGGAAAAUAUAUCUUAAUAGUAAAGAGAAUUGUGGUUGCCAUUACCUUAAUUUGGGAAUCAAACUUGGCAUCACUAAUAGUGAGAAAACCAGGCUCAAUGUGAUCCUGAUGCCAUGCACUAUGUUUUUAAAAUUUUUAUUAAAAAUUUUUUUUGUGAGAGAGCCUCUCGGUCUGUCACCCAGGUUGGAGGGCAGUGGCAUGAUCACAGCUCACUACAGCCUCCAACUCCUGGGCUCAAGCAUGAUCCUCUCAUCUCAGUUUCUUGAGUAGCUGAGACUACAGGUGUGAGCCACCAUGCCUGGCUGCUGCCAUGCAGUAUGAAGGAGAUAGCCUCAUCUAUGAGUAUUCUUCAAAAUGUGUAACCUGAAUCAAGUCAAGACUUUAGGUGUGUAGGCUAUACAGAGGAUGGAGGAACAAGUUAAGCCACUUUAAAGAAAGAAUCAAAAAGUCUAGAACUGGGGCCUUCUAUAAGACAGGCUUAGUACAGUACAAAAAAGUGAUGAAGACCAGGACUGGUUUUUUUUGUUUGUUUGUUUUGUUUUUUUUUAAGGCCUGGCCUUUUAAAAAAGUCAAUAGCAUGAGAAAAGGGGAAACAGGGCUGGGCUCUGGAUUAAAAAAGAUGGACGACAUGACAAUUGUCACAUGUGUUCCUUGAUUAGAUUCAAAAUUGGAAAAAAACUCUACAUAUACUGAGUUGAUCAUUAUACAAUUCUACAUGCAUUGAAACAUCACACUGUACUCCAUAAGAAUGUGCAAUUAUUAUGUAGCAAUUAUAAAUAAAAAUUAAUUUUAAAACAGUAUGUUCUUAAAAACCCUAUAAAACCAUGAUAAUCAUUUGAAUAUGGACUGCGUAUUAUAUGAUAUUAAGGAAUUACUGUGAAUUUAUUAAGUGGCAUAUAUUGGUAUUUGGUUAUGUUAAAAAGGUGUCCUCAUUUUUUUUUAAAUGUAUGCUGAAGUACUGGAGGGUGAUUGAUUUUAAAAUGGUCUAGCAACCACAAAAAAACAGAUGAAGCAAAGAUGGCAAAAUAAUAACAAUUAUUAAUUAAAUGUAUUGGGUUAUGGGUAUGCAUUGUAUUAUUUUUUCUAUUUCUCUGCAUGUUUGAACAUUUUUAUGAUAAAAAGGUAAGGAAAAAAACCUUAGCUUUUAUUAGUUGCUAAUGAAAAUCAGGUGUUUCAAAACUAAUUAGUUUUUCUCUAUCCAUUUGGACCAGAUCACCCUUCCAAAUGAGCAAAAAAUUUAAAAAUAAAAUAACAUACUGAUAAUUUUUAAAAAUUAAGCACAGGUGCAGCCCUCAAGUGUCAACAACAGCAACAAAAUGGCAAUAAUUUAAACCACAUCAAUUUCCCUUUAAUUAUCUUUAUCUUAUGAGAUACAAACAAAAAUUUGCAGUGGUAACAGUGUCUGGUGUUUAUGUUUAAAUCCAUAUAAAUUGGUUACUUGCUGUUCAUAUCAGUGAAUGGUUUAAAGUGAAAACAACCCUGGUAAUCACAAAUUAUCUGUUGUAAUCAACUUUUCCACGUGAGUUAAUUGAAGCAUAGUGAGUACCAAUAAGUAAAAAGAAAGCUAGGCUUAGGGAACAGUUCACAAUUUAUAAAUAAUUAUGCCACUUAGCAAAUUAGUAAAGUAAUUUACUCCUCACAUCUACAAACCCUUGAACAACACAGGUUUGAACUGCGAGGGUCCGCUUAUAUGUGGAUUUUUUUCAGUAAAAGUUACAUUAAGUGUGUCUGGCUCUCCUGCCUCCCCCUCCACAUCCUCCACCUCUUCCGCCUCUGCCACCCCUGAGACAGCAAGACCAACCCCUCUUCCUGCUCAGCCUACUCAACUUGAAGAGGACACGGAUGAAGACCUUUAUGAUAAUCCACUUCCACUUAAUGAAAGUUAAUAUAUUUUCUCUUCCUUGUGAUUUUCUUAUUAAAAUUUUCUUUUCUCUAGCUUACUUUACUGUAAGAAUACAGUAUAUAAUACAUCUAACACAAAAUAUGUGUUAAUCAGCUGUUUAUGUUAUCAGUAAGGCUUCCAGUCAACAGUAGGCUAUUAGUAAAGUGUUUGGGGAGUCGAAAGUUACACUCAGAUUUUUGACUGCAAGGGUGUCAGCACCUCUGACCCUUGUGUUGUUCAAGAGUCAACUUUUUUUUUUAAUCAGCCUACUUUCCUAUCUGGAUUUAUGUGUAGAGUAUAUGGAUUAAAUUAAAUAUUUAUAUUUUACUGUAUACAUUUGACUUACAUUAUCUUGAUUUGGUGGUUGAGUGAUCAUUAUAAAAUUGCUGGAAUUCAUUUCCUGUAAGAAUAAAGUAAUUAGCAGUUGGGCAUAAUGGAAAUGGCAUGGGACUGGGAGUUAUAAAACCUGAAUGAUAUAGGCCACACUUAUGUGCUUGUGUAACUAAAUAAAUAUCUGUUUGACUUUGGGCAAA
This is a long non-coding RNA of Homo sapiens (human), 14978 nucleotides long. RefSeq lists it as uncharacterized. The record is from RefSeq and is a predicted model, not a curated record. NCBI's taxonomy places the organism in Eukaryota, Metazoa, Chordata, Mammalia, Primates, Hominidae. The transcript has 3 exons.